GAACGCUAGCGGGAGGCCUAACACAUGCAAGCCGAGCGGUAGAGAUCUUUCGGGAUCUUGAGAGCGGCGUACGGGUGCGGAACACGUGUGCAACCUGCCUUUAUCUGGGGGAUAGCCCUUCGAAAGGAAGAUUAAUACCCCAUAAUAUGUUGGAUGGCAUCAUUCGACAUUGAAAACUCCGGUGGAUAGAGAUGGGCACGCGCAAGAUUAGAUAGUUGGUGAGGUAACGGCUCACCAAGUCUGCGAUCUUUAGGGGGCCUGAGAGGGUGAUCCCCCACACUGGUACUGAGACACGGACCAGACUCCUACGGGAGGCAGCAGUGAGGAAUAUUGGACAAUGGGUGAGAGCCUGAUCCAGCCAUCCCGCGUGAAGGACGACGGCCCUAUGGGUUGUAAACUUCUUUUGUAUAGGGAUAAACCUACUCUCGUGAGAGUAGCUGAAGGUACUAUACGAAUAAGCACCGGCUAACUCCGUGCCAGCAGCCGCGGUAAUACGGAGGGUGCAAGCGUUAUCCGGAUUUAUUGGGUUUAAAGGGUCCGUAGGCGGAUCUGUAAGUCAGUGGUGAAAUCUCACAGCUUAACUGUGAAACUGCCAUUGAUACUGCAGGUCUUGAGUGUUGUUGAAGUAGCUGGAAUAAGUAGUGUAGCGGUGAAAUGCAUAGAUAUUACUUAGAACACCAAUUGCGAAGGCAGGUUACUAAGCAACAACUGACGCUGAUGGACGAAAGCGUGGGGAGCGAACAGGAUUAGAUACCCUGGUAGUCCACGCCGUAAACGAUGCUAACUCGUUUUUGGGCUUUCGGGUUCAGAGACUAAGCGAAAGUGAUAAGUUAGCCACCUGGGGAGUACGAACGCAAGUUG
This 861-nucleotide ribosomal RNA is filed under the name uncultured bacterium. RNAcentral's name for it is "bacterial SSU rRNA". It matches the Rfam family "Bacterial small subunit ribosomal RNA", at positions 31 to 895 of the family's 1533-position model. The record is from RNAcentral.